AAGAUUAAAUUAAUAAGAACUUCUAACUCUUUAUUUUGAAUUAAAUUUCACUAAUCUUC
RNAcentral lists this transfer RNA (59 nucleotides) under Euaspis polynesia. RNAcentral's name for it is "tRNA-Ser". Lineage: Eukaryota; Metazoa; Arthropoda; Insecta; Hymenoptera; Megachilidae. The record is from RNAcentral.